Molecule: ribosomal RNA, 460 nt
Filed under: uncultured bacterium
Lineage: Bacteria
Description: partial 16S ribosomal RNA
Rfam family: Bacterial small subunit ribosomal RNA
Source: RNAcentral
CCUACGGGUGGCAGCAGUGAGGAAUAUUGGUCAAUGGGCGGAAGCCUGAACCAGCCAAGUAGCGUGCAGGAUGACGGCCCUACGGGUUGUAAACUGCUUUUAUACGGGAAUAACGCGCCUUACGUGUAGGGCUUUGCAUGUACCGUAUGAAUAAGGACCGGCUAAUUCCGUGCAAGCAGCCGCGGUAAUAGGGAAGGUCCGGGUGUUAUCCGGAUUUAUUGGGUUUAAAGGGAGCGUAGGCCGCCUGUCAAGCGUGCUGUGAAAUGUCCGGGCUAAACCCGGGCCUUGCAGCGCGAACUGGCGUGCUUGAGUCCGCGGAAAGCAGGCGGAAUUCGUCGUGUAGCGGUGAAAUGCUUAGAUAUGACGAAGAGCCCCGAUUGCGAAGGCAGCUUGCUGCAGCGGAACUGACGCUGAUGCUCGAAAGCGCGGGUAUCGAACAGGAUUAGAUACCCCUGUAGUC